ACAGAGGGUGCAAACGUUGCUCGGAAUUAUUGGGCGUAAAGCGCAUGUAGGCGGCACGGUAAGUCGACUGUGAAAGCCCUUGGCUCAACCAAGGAAGUGCAGUCGAAACUGCCGAGCUCGAGUUCUGAAGAGGGUCGCGGAAUGGCCAGUGUAGAGGUGAAAUUCGUAGAUAUUGGCUAGAACACCAGUGGCGAAGGCGGCGACCUGGGAAGAUACUGACGCUGAGAUGCGAAAGCGUGGGGAGCAAACAGGA
RNAcentral lists this ribosomal RNA (253 nucleotides) under uncultured prokaryote. RNAcentral's name for it is "partial 16S ribosomal RNA". It matches the Rfam family "Bacterial small subunit ribosomal RNA", at positions 525 to 777 of the family's 1533-position model. The record is from RNAcentral.